This is a long non-coding RNA of Vicia villosa (hairy vetch), 2174 nucleotides long. RefSeq lists it as uncharacterized. The transcript has 2 exons. The record is from RefSeq and is a predicted model, not a curated record. Lineage: Eukaryota; Viridiplantae; Streptophyta; Magnoliopsida; Fabales; Fabaceae.
ACGGUGAACCAACCGUCGCGCCCACUUACGUAAAAAUUAUCAAACCUCACGACGGUGAAUCUACCGUCGCCCACUAUUAAAAAACAAUUAUCAAAGGGCACGACGGUGAAGACUGUAAAGUUACCGUCGCCACCCCAUAUACCCCAUAAAUACAAAUAUUCUGUGAAACCCUUCCACUAACUCUACGAUUUCCUGCUUCCGCCAAAUCUAAAUUAUUGUAAGCGUGCAACUUUCAGCUUUCCAGUCAAUCUAGAUUCUUCACCAAACGUUUCAAUUUGAAGCAUACAACCUAACAUGAUUGAACCAGUCAGAAAGCGUGAGCGGGCCGAAAGGAGGGAAACCUCGCUUCCACCAUCGUGGAAAGUUUGGUCAAACAAUGCUAAUUGUUGGGUCUAGCCAAAGUAUUGACAAUGAUAACCUCCAUCCCAGAUAAGUUUUCUGUAUUUUAUUCGAACAGAUUCUAGUUUCUACGCUUAUUAGAGAAAUGGAUUUUUGUAUUUCUAUUAACUCCAACUUCGGUGUUGUGUAAAUUGUCUAAUGUCCUUUAAUCUACCUUUCGGGUGCAUAGAAAGAUCAGAUAAUCAAAGAGAUUAAACAGGUCUCUGUGUUGACUCGGUCUUAUGAUGGCGUUAGCCUCAUGGCGCUCAUGACAGAGAUGAAAACAACCCCGCACAGGAAUUCAGCAUACCACACAUUCGAUGAAAUGCCAAAGAGAAAAUUAAGAAGAAGCAAAGUUGGGGCCUUGGAAGACUUCGAGCAGGCCAACAUCAAAAUGUCGCUCGAAUAGUCAGAUUGUACCGUCAACACCGUCAUUCAUAGAUAAGUCACAUAUUCUCACUCUAUUAUGUGGUAUCUGAACUUUUCAUACAUUGCACUAUUUGCUUGUAAUAACAGCUAUCGGAUUAUAGGUUUAAACCUAAUAUAACCCCUGUUAUCAGUAAAACCUUUGGCACAAUUACAUAAUUUGAAUAUGUUGAGAGCUUAGCACCAGCAGCUGUUCCGAUAUCGGCCUUAGUGUAUGGACUGGAUUUUUAAUGAGUUGCUGCUAAACAAUUUUUCAGAAAUUAAUAUAUUGAUGAGUAUAUUACAGGAUUUAACAUAAUGUCUACAUUGUUAUGAUAAUCCGAGCAACCGAUGGUUUUAUGCCACGGUGUUCCAAGGAGAGAAAUUUGUUAUGGAGAUGGUGGUCGAUCCAUGACAAUUCAUGUUACCAAUAUGCUCAUCCCAGACGAAGCCCGAACCUAAUCACAAUUCCUACAUUGCAAUAAAAAGUCACAGGGAGCUACAUCAAAGUUCAUAACGGAGUUCGGAGGCGCGAACUGUGAAGCUUCAGUCCAGACUCUGUGUCUUCCUCUAGUCUGUCCGAAAAAUUUGUCCACUAAGAUUGUACAAGCUUGCAGAGAAGUAAUAUGGUAGGAGUUUCCAAUAUCAAUCUAUAACUGGCUUGAUCCGCAUUAGCAAGUAGGCGUAACCAAAUUGGAACAUAAAAGAUAAGUAUUUGAUUCCAUUUAGCAUGAAACGUACUGAUACUUGUUCUCAAUUCCAUUGGUUAUCAUGUAUUGAUACUUCCGUUGGUUUAUCAUGUACUAAUACUUGCUCUCAAUUCCAUUAGUUUGUCAUGUGCUGAUACUUGUUGUUAAUAUUUUGUGUAGUGAAUACAUUUAUAUGGACUGAAUCAAUUUAAGAAAAGAAUAUCUUCCAUAUUUGAAUGCAUUCUUUGAUGUUGUUGGAUCAAACUUUAGCCAGGGAGAAAAUUCUGCAACAGCUGAACGUUUGAAAUAAGUUGCGUGUUAGCGGAGAGGCAAAGGAUGCCGAGCACUAAGAGAAGUCUCUUCCUUACAGAAAAUCCGACCUCGUAUUCAAUUCAGCGGCAUCAUACGAGUACACUGUCUCGAGGUUAAGUGUUUGUCGCUAUUUCGAUAAUGCCGGUUAGUCUCGACAAACUCUCAAAGGUGUCAUCUAAGGUCAUCUGAGGUUAGGCUGAUACGAGUUCAAAGGACUGAACGAGACAAAUGGGGUCGGAGAGCUAAUUCGGUGAACAGGGUUGAUCAUACAGCAAGCAACACACAAAUAACCGCUAUCAGAUUAUAUUGUUAAAACCUAGUAUAACCCCUGUUGUCUAGAAAGCCUUUGGAAGAAUCACAUAAUUUGAUUUAUAUUUAUAGUAUUAAUUA